RNAcentral lists this long non-coding RNA (477 nucleotides) under Gossypium raimondii (Peruvian cotton). RNAcentral describes it as "long non-coding RNA (GRAI_LNC003181)". Lineage: Eukaryota; Viridiplantae; Streptophyta; Magnoliopsida; Malvales; Malvaceae. The record is from RNAcentral.
AAGUAGCAACCUCAUCUUUUUUACUCUAAAUAGGAUCACUUUCCCUCUAAGAUUUUCCUCCUAAAAGCUUAGUUGUAAAUUAAUUGAUUUAGUUCAACUUACUUACAAUGUUUUUGUACUCAAUGUGUGAAGCCCAUAUUUUGCCAGGGGCCCAAAACCAAAAAAACAAAAUAACAACAUUCCAUCAAGCCUAAUAAAACAGUCCAAUUACAUUACAAAAAAAAAAGAAAAAAAAAGAAAGGCUCAAACCCAAUUAGCCCAAUACCUAAAAACAAAAAAAACAAAAGAAAACCCUAGCCCCCUAACCCUAGCCGCCGCACCUAGCCCCUGACAGCCUUGCCACCGCCAACUGCUCUGCUGUCGCCGCACCAACUCCACCUGCCACCGCCCACUUGCACCAGCAAAAUCAAAGAAGAAAAGACAGCAAACAAAAAAAUAAUAGAGAUAUUGUAAAAUGGCUAUAUAAGCCAAGAAAUA